AGUAAAAUGCCUGAUUAAAGGGUUAUUUUGAUAGGAUAAAUAAUGUAAUUUUAUUACUUUUACUA
Molecule: transfer RNA, 65 nt
Filed under: Statilia sp. FY-2016a
Lineage: Eukaryota; Metazoa; Arthropoda; Insecta; Mantodea; Mantidae
Description: tRNA-Ile
Source: RNAcentral